RNAcentral lists this transfer RNA (95 nucleotides) under Lasiosphaeria miniovina. It matches the Rfam family "tRNA". From Rfam's summary of the family: Transfer RNA (tRNA) molecules are approximately 80 nucleotides in length. Their secondary structure includes four short double-helical elements and three loops (D, anti-codon, and T loops). Lineage: Eukaryota; Fungi; Ascomycota; Sordariomycetes; Sordariales; Lasiosphaeriaceae. The record is from Rfam by way of RNAcentral.
GCCCCUGUAGCUUAGGGGUAGAGCAUCAGCCUCAUAUCUUCACACGAGAAGAGAGGGGCGAUCUGACUACGCUGGUUCGAUUCCAGCCAGGGGCA